UAAGUGGAGAGUUUGAUCCUGGCUCAGAACGAACGCUGGCGGCGUGCCUAACACAUGCAAGUCGAACGAGAAAUCGGGCGCUCAGGCAACUGAGUGCCGGAGAGUAAAGUGGCGCACGGGUGAGUAACGCGUGGGUAACCUACCCUUGAAUCUGGAAUAACCCCGCGAAAGCGGGACUAAUACCGGAUAUGGUUCCAUUAGCCCAGGCUUUUGGAAUUAAAGGUGACCUCUUCAUGAAAGUUGCCGUUCAGGGACGGGCCCGCGUACCAUUAGCUUGUUGGUAGGGUAAUGGCCUACCAAGGCGACGAUGGUUAGCUGGUCUGAGAGGAUGAUCAGUCACACUGGAACUGGAACACGGUCCAGACUCCUACGGGAGGCAGCAGUGAGGAAUUUUGCGCAAUGGGGGAAACCCUGACGCAGCAACGCCGCGUGAGCGAAGAAGG
RNAcentral lists this ribosomal RNA (443 nucleotides) under Desulfobacteraceae bacterium. RNAcentral describes it as "bacterial SSU rRNA". It matches the Rfam family "Bacterial small subunit ribosomal RNA", at positions 1 to 414 of the family's 1533-position model. Lineage: Bacteria; Pseudomonadati; Thermodesulfobacteriota; Desulfobacteria; Desulfobacterales; Desulfobacteraceae. The record is from RNAcentral.